RNAcentral lists this ribosomal RNA (465 nucleotides) under uncultured eukaryote. RNAcentral's name for it is "eukaryotic LSU rRNA". It matches the Rfam family "Eukaryotic large subunit ribosomal RNA", at positions 25 to 479 of the family's 3401-position model. The record is from RNAcentral.
CGGCGUAAUUUAAGCAUAUUACUAACCGGAGGAAAAGAAACCAACAGGGACGUCCUCAGUAGCGGCGAGCGAAGCGGACGAUGGCCCAAACCGAACCGCGGUUCCCGAGGGGGCCGCGGAGUGUGGAGAGGAUGAGCUUCGCGAGGGGGCGGGACGGGUUCCAAUCCGUCUGGAAGGGCGGAGGCACGGAGGGCGAUUUCCCCCGUACGUGCUCGGUCCGUCCCCGACGAGCGAACGCAUCGGAGAGUCGGGCCGCUUUGAGAGUGCAGCCCGAAUGGGGGUGAUAGGUCUCAUCCAAGGCUAAGUACGUGGGAGACGCCGAUAGCGAACAAGUACGGCGACGGAAAGGUGAAAAGAACCUCGAAAAGGGGGGUCAAAAAGCGCUCGAAAUCGUAGAGGGGGAAGCGGACCUGACCGACGAGACCUCGUCGUCGCUCGCGCUCGACCACGCUCGUCGCGAGUUCC